RNAcentral lists this unclassified non-coding RNA (2072 nucleotides) under Hevea brasiliensis (rubber tree). The record is from RNAcentral. Lineage: Eukaryota; Viridiplantae; Streptophyta; Magnoliopsida; Malpighiales; Euphorbiaceae.
AUAAUAAUAAUAAUAAUAAACACCUAGUCUUAAGGGAUGCAACUGGUGGAGCCUGAAAGGAAAAUAGAAAUUUGAAAGAAUUGAGUCACGAAUUCAACAGUUGUUAGGGUAUGCCUUUAGAUAGUUCUCCUGCUUUCUGAACAAAUCGAUCUUGUUCAUAAAAUCAUGACCAAUAAACUCAAAUGCAUUAAAGUCAACAUAUCUUCUUCCUUUUUUUUUUUUUUCGUCUCUUCAACUCAAUUAUGAUUCUUGAUGUCUUUAUAUCCUCUCAGUUUCCACCUUUACACAUUAUUAGAUAAGAUAAAGGAUUGACAGCUAAGGAGAGUGACAAGUGAAGAAAUGGAUUUAUUCACAAAAUUCUUAGUACACAUUUGACAAACACUCCAGCAGAAAGACUAAAAGGGAUAGUUUUCUUCACAUACAUGAUGACCAUUUCUGUUAAAGCAAUGAGCAGUUUGCCUAAGCAUGCUUCCUGUUUUUACUAUUUUAUUCAUUAGUACUAUCCACUAUGGAUGAAAUAUAACCUAUAGCAUCUGAUAUAGAAAGGAAAUCUUGAUUAUUCUGUGAUCUAACAAGUAUCAGUUUCACCUGGGAUAAUUACAGCUUCAGUUUGCUCAGAUGCUUUGGCUUUAAAGAAUUUGCUUCAACCAGUAGCCAUUUACCUUUAAUCAAUGAACCACUGGUACUUAUUAUAUGAUUUAUAUCAUGUCCUCUUCUAACAGUGCUUAGUGCUAUAUAGCAGGUCGCCUAAUUGUCCAAUCCUUCAUUUUAACUUUUAAUUUCUUAUCAUCCAUGCCUGCUUUUAUCACUUCUCAAAAAUUAACUUUGAAGCACUAGCCUUGCAGGCAAAGAUCAUCUAGUUUCCAUGGAUUGUAGUUCGAACAGGCUCAAUCUGUUUACUGCUCAAACACUUUAGAAUGCAAAGCGGCUCUUCAUUAUACAAUUCAACUUCAAUAUGAAACCUACCAUUGAUCUUGAAGUGGAGGCCUUCUCUGAAAAUGAUUCCGAGGUCAACAGCCAAGUAGCUUCCAACUUAUCCAUCCAUGAAAAUUCUGCAGGUCCCUCCAAUGACAGCCUCACUAACUGUUCCAAUCUCACAAAUGCCAUAGCUGCUACUUCCGUUUCGGAACCAGUUUCCCUAGAUUUAACCCUUUGUUUCAAUGAUGAUGAAUUAGAGAAAAGAGGGUCAAUGGGACUCUCUUUGUCAAGCACUGGCGAGAGUAGCAAUGAACCUGUAACUCGUACAGCUGCAGCAGCCAUGCCACGAGUUUUUUUCGUGCAAUUAUUGUCGGCGGAAAUUCUUCAGCUCACAGGCACUUGGUGGUCACCAGAAUGCACAUAAGAGGGAGAGAACAAUAGCAAAGCGGGCAAUGAGGAUGGGCAUUUUUUCUGAAAGGCAUGUCAGCCUGGCAUCUCUGCCUUUACAUGGAUCUUCAUUUAGGUCCCUGGGAAUCAAAGCACACUCUUCAGUACAUCAGGAUAUUUCACCACCAGUAAGGCCACAAGAUAACAGAAAUACUGCAAGAUUUGAUCAGGGGUACUUUGGGUUGCCAAUAUUCGUGGACGAUGAUGAGGCAGAGCUGUUAUGGCCAGGUAGUUUCCGCCAGGUAGCUGAGGCAGAUGAUACACAUCAAAGUUUUGUACUCACAGGAAAUUCAAAUGUGAAUUUUUUAGGGGAAACUCCAUCAGCAGACUCAGGCAAUUCCAUGCCAGACCUCACAUUGAAACUUUGAGUCCUUCAGGAGGAGUCAGGACUGGCUUCAGUCUGUCAGCUUUAAUAUUCUCUCCUUGUAUAGCAAUAUGUACUUGAGCAAUGGCUUAGCAUUUAUUCUUACGCGUACUUUCUUAUCUGAUUUUCACUUUGGUUUUGUAUGUUAGUGUAUAAGAGCUUCACAAGGAUUAUUUGGGAGCUUCAAUGCUUGUUCUGAUUUAUAUGAUGCUUUCGAUUUGCUGUAACUGCUAAAGCUAAUUGCUUGUUUGAUCACAUUUCCUUAUCUUUUCCAUUUCUGUUACUGUACUGAUGGAAUAUAAGACGGAAUUACAGUCAGAUGGGUCUGACAGGCAUGCUUUGC